RNAcentral lists this ribosomal RNA (110 nucleotides) under uncultured eukaryote. Its description in RNAcentral is "partial small subunit ribosomal RNA". The record is from RNAcentral.
UCGCACCUACCGAUCGAAGGUAAUGAUGAGCCCUCAGGACAGUCGACUAGCGCCUUCACGGGAGCUUUUUGGCCGAAAUUUGUGCAAAUCCUUACCUUUAGAGGAAGGUG